Molecule: ribosomal RNA, 2927 nt
Filed under: Escherichia coli
Lineage: Bacteria; Pseudomonadati; Pseudomonadota; Gammaproteobacteria; Enterobacterales; Enterobacteriaceae
Description: 23S ribosomal RNA
Rfam family: Bacterial large subunit ribosomal RNA
Source: RNAcentral
GGGUUGUGAGGUUAAGCGACUAAGCGUACACGGUGGAUGCCCUGGCAGUCAGAGGCGAUGAAGGACGUGCUAAUCUGCGAUAAGCGUCGGUAAGGUGAUAUGAACCGUUAUAACCGGCGAUUUCCGAAUGGGGAAACCCAGUGUGUUUCGACACACUAUCAUUAACUGAAUCCAUAGGUUAAUGAGGCGAACCGGGGGAACUGAAACAUCUAAGUACCCCGAGGAAAAGAAAUCAACCGAGAUUCCCCCAGUAGCGGCGAGCGAACGGGGAGCAGCCCAGAGCCUGAAUCAGUGUGUGUGUUAGUGGAAGCGUCUGGAAAGGCGCGCGAUACAGGGUGACAGCCCCGUACACAAAAAUGCACAUGCUGUGAGCUCGAUGAGUAGGGCGGGACACGUGGUAUCCUGUCUGAAUAUGGGGGGACCAUCCUCCAAGGCUAAAUACUCCUGACUGACCGAUAGUGAACCAGUACCGUGAGGGAAAGGCGAAAAGAACCCCGGCGAGGGGAGUGAAAAAGAACCUGAAACCGUGUACGUACAAGCAGUGGGAGCACGCUUCGGCGUGUGACUGCGUACCUUUUGUAUAAUGGGUCAGCGACUUAUAUUCUGUAGCAAGGUUAACCGAAUAGGGGAGCCGAAGGGAAACCGAGUCUUAACUGGGCGUUAAGUUGCAGGGUAUAGACCCGAAACCCGGUGAUCUAGCCAUGGGCAGGUUGAAGGUUGGGUAACACUAACUGGAGGACCGAACCGACUAAUGUUGAAAAAUUAGCGGAUGACUUGUGGCUGGGGGUGAAAGGCCAAUCAAACCGGGAGAUAGCUGGUUCUCCCCGAAAGCUAUUUAGGUAGCGCCUCGUGAAUUCAUCUCCGGGGGUAGAGCACUGUUUCGGCAAGGGGGUCAUCCCGACUUACCAACCCGAUGCAAACUGCGAAUACCGGAGAAUGUUAUCACGGGAGACACACGGCGGGUGCUAACGUCCGUCGUGAAGAGGGAAACAACCCAGACCGCCAGCUAAGGUCCCAAAGUCAUGGUUAAGUGGGAAACGAUGUGGGAAGGCCCAGACAGCCAGGAUGUUGGCUUAGAAGCAGCCAUCAUUUAAAGAAAGCGUAAUAGCUCACUGGUCGAGUCGGCCUGCGCGGAAGAUGUAACGGGGCUAAACCAUGCACCGAAGCUGCGGCAGCGACGCUGAUGCGUUGUUGGGUAGGGGAGCGUUCUGUAAGCCUGCGAAGGUGUGCUGUGAGGCAUGCUGGAGGUAUCAGAAGUGCGAAUGCUGACAUAAGUAACGAUAAAGCGGGUGAAAAGCCCGCUCGCCGGAAGACCAAGGGUUCCUGUCCAACGUUAAUCGGGGCAGGGUGAGUCGACCCCUAAGGCGAGGCCGAAAGGCGUAGUCGAUGGGAAACAGGUUAAUAUUCCUGUACUUGGUGUUACUGCGAAGGGGGACGGAGAAGGCUAUGUUGGCCGGGCGACGGUUGUCCCGGUUUAAGCGUGUAGGCUGGUUUUCCAGGCAAAUCCGGAAAAUCAAGGCUGAGGCGUGAUGACGAGGCACUACGGUGCUGAAGCAACAAAUGCCCUGCUUCCAGGAAAAGCCUCUAAGCAUCAGGUAACAUCAAAUCGUACCCCAAACCGACACAGGUGGUCAGGUAGAGAAUACCAAGGCGCUUGAGAGAACUCGGGUGAAGGAACUAGGCAAAAUGGUGCCGUAACUUCGGGAGAAGGCACGCUGAUAUGUAGGUGAGGUCCCUCGCGGAUGGAGCUGAAAUCAGUCGAAGAUACCAGCUGGCUGCAACUGUUUAUUAAAAACACAGCACUGUGCAAACACGAAAGUGGACGUAUACGGUGUGACGCCUGCCCGGUGCCGGAAGGUUAAUUGAUGGGGUCAGCGCAAGCGAAGCUCUUGAUCGAAGCCCCGGUAAACGGCGGCCGUAACUAUAACGGUCCUAAGGUAGCGAAAUUCCUUGUCGGGUAAGUUCCGACCUGCACGAAUGGCGUAAUGAUGGCCAGGCUGUCUCCACCCGAGACUCAGUGAAAUUGAACUCGCUGUGAAGAUGCAGUGUACCCGCGGCAAGACGGAAAGACCCCGUGAACCUUUACUAUAGCUUGACACUGAACAUUGAGCCUUGAUGUGUAGGAUAGGUGGGAGGCUUGGAAGUGUGGACGCCAGUCUGCAUGGAGCCGACCUUGAAAUACCACCCUUUAAUGUUUGAUGUUCUAACGUUGACCCGUAAUCCGGGUUGCGGACAGUGUCUGGUGGGUAGUUUGACUGGGGCGGUCUCCUCCUAAAGAGUAACGGAGGAGCACGAAGGUUGGCUAAUCCUGGUCGGACAUCAGGAGGUUAGUGCAAUGGCAUAAGCCAGCUUGACUGCGAGCGUGACGGCGCGAGCAGGUGCGAAAGCAGGUCAUAGUGAUCCGGUGGUUCUGAAUGGAAGGGCCAUCGCUCAACGGAUAAAAGGUACUCCGGGGAUAACAGGCUGAUACCGCCCAAGAGUUCAUAUCGACGGCGGUGUUUGGCACCUCGAUGUCGGCUCAUCACAUCCUGGGCUGAAGUAGGUCCCAAGGGUAUGGCUGUUCGCCAUUUAAAGUGGUACGCGAGCUGGGUUUAGAACGUCGUGAGACAGUUCGGUCCCUAUCUGCCGUGGGCGCUGGAGAACUGAGGGGGCUGCUCCUAGUACGAGAGGACCGGAGUGGACGCAUCACUGGUGUUCGGGUUGUCAUGCCAAUGGCACUGCCCGGUAGCUAAAUGCGGAAGAGAUAAGUGCUGAAAGCAUCUAAGCACGAAACUUGCCCCGAGAUGAGUUCUCCCUGACCCUUUAAGGGUCCUGAAGGAACGUUGAAGACGACGACGUUGAUAGGCCGGGUGUGUAAGCGCAGCGAUGCGUUGAGCUAACCGGUACUAAUGAACCGUGAGGCUUAACCUUACAACGCCGAAGCUGUU